AUCCAGUGACGAGUCCCAAAUAGGACGAAAGGCGCGUUAUCCUGGAC
Non-coding RNA from Trichobilharzia regenti, 47 nucleotides. Lineage: Eukaryota; Metazoa; Platyhelminthes; Trematoda; Strigeidida; Schistosomatidae. The record is from Rfam.